CGGCGGACGGGUGAGUAACGCGUGGGUAACCUGCCUCAUACAGGGGGAUAACAGUUGGAAACGGCUGCUAAUACCGCAUAAGCGCACAGUACCGCAUGGUACGGUGUGAAAAACUCCGGUGGUAUGAGAUGGACCCGCGUCUGAUUAGGUAGUCGGUGGGGUAACGGCCUACCAAGCCGACGAUCAGUAGCCGACCUGAGAGGGUGACCGGCCACAUUGGGACUGAGACACGGCCCAA
Molecule: ribosomal RNA, 238 nt
Filed under: uncultured bacterium
Lineage: Bacteria
Description: partial 16S ribosomal RNA
Rfam family: Bacterial small subunit ribosomal RNA
Source: RNAcentral